CCUACGGGAGGCAGCAGUGAGGAAUAUUGGUCAAUGGCCGUAAGGCUGAACCAGCCAAGUAGCGUGAGGGAAGACUGCCCUAUGGGCUGUAAACCUCUUUUAUGCGGGGAUAAAGGUGUCCACGUGUGGAUGUUUGCAGGUACCGCAUGAAUAAGGACCGGCUAAUUCCGUGCCAGCAGCCGCGGUAAUACGGUAGGUCCGGGCGUUAUCCGGAUGUAUUGGGUUUAAAGGGAGCGUAGGCCGGUCUUUAAGCGUGCCGUGAAAUUUUGUGGCUCAACCAUGAGAGUGCGGCGCGAACUGGAGACCUUGAGUGCGCGGAAGGCAGGCGGAAUUCGUGGUGUAGCGGUGAAAUGCGUAGAUAUCACGAAGAACCUCGAUUGCGAAGGCAGCCUGCCGCAGCGUUACUGACGCUGAAGCUCGAAAGCGCGGGUAGCGAACAGGAUUAGAUACCCGGGUAGUC
This 460-nucleotide ribosomal RNA is filed under the name uncultured bacterium. RNAcentral describes it as "partial 16S ribosomal RNA". It matches the Rfam family "Bacterial small subunit ribosomal RNA", at positions 338 to 795 of the family's 1533-position model. The record is from RNAcentral.